CUGGAGGAGUGUGAAUGGCUGAGGGAGCUGUAGGGACUGGACUGGACUGGACUGGCAGAAACUGGGGAGAGCGAGAAGAUGCUCUGGACUGGUUGUUGGGACUCCAUCAGGACAAGCCCCUGAGAUGGCAUUCCUGAGCCCACGGCUGUAACGUUUUUGAUUUCAGUGUUUAACAAACUGGGGAAGUAUCGGUUAUCAACACUUUGCAGAUGGGGAAGCUGAGUGUCAGAAGUUGAGUGAUUUGCAGAAGGUAAUCAAUGGCGCAGCUAGGAACAGAACCCAGAUAUCCUGGUACCGACUCUGAUGUCCUCUUCAAGGUAUCCUGCUUCCUCUGAGUCCUGGCAGCUAACCAUAUUGUGCACAAAGAUAAUUUCCAAAGAUUUCAUAAAACUACUAGCUCAUAUGGGAGCCUCUCCCAGCUGCAGUGAAUGUGUAAACCAACACAAAUGGAACCUUUGCUGUGCUUUGACUAGACGGUUGCCUCAUGCUGUUCACAGAUUGAAUAGGAGUGCAGACACUGGGAGGGUAAUCUACUGUAAUUCCAAUUAAUAUUUAUGGCUCUUUCUAUAAAUCUGUGAGGUGCUGGAAUGAGAGUUUGGCACAUCACAGGAAGAAGAAAAGCUUUUUGAAAUUCAUGGGAAGACUGGAACGACAGGAUUCUAUUUAUAUAGCAAAUACUUGGUUUUCAUACGAUUUUUGUAGACUUUUUUUUCCAUUAAAGCAAAGUGCUUAAGAAAAAUGAAUCUUUUUCCUUUCU
This is a long non-coding RNA of Dermochelys coriacea (leatherback sea turtle), 757 nucleotides long. RefSeq lists it as uncharacterized. The transcript is spliced from 3 exons. Lineage: Eukaryota; Metazoa; Chordata; Testudines; Dermochelyidae. The record is from RefSeq and is a predicted model, not a curated record.